RNAcentral lists this long non-coding RNA (284 nucleotides) under Elaeis guineensis (African oil palm). RNAcentral's name for it is "long non-coding RNA (EGUI_LNC075624)". Lineage: Eukaryota; Viridiplantae; Streptophyta; Magnoliopsida; Arecales; Arecaceae. The record is from RNAcentral.
CGGCCCAGGCCCGGCAUGGCUUGGUAGGCCAGGCACGGCUCAUGCCCAGGCCCGGCAUAGCCCGCGUGCCAGCCUAUAUGGGCCUUGGCACGGUCCAUUUGGCACGGCACGUUUUUAAAAUUUUUAUUUUAAAAAAUAAUUUUUAUAAAAUAAAACAGAUUGGGAGAUAAAUAAAAAAAAUAAGAGAUAUUGAAUUUUUUUUGUUUAAAAAUCACCUUGUAAUGGUAGAGGAUUUGACAUAGACUCCUACCAGUUUAUUAAUAUAAAUUAAAAUUAUACAAAAG